RNAcentral lists this ribosomal RNA (497 nucleotides) under uncultured bacterium. RNAcentral's name for it is "partial 16S ribosomal RNA". It matches the Rfam family "Bacterial small subunit ribosomal RNA", at positions 28 to 507 of the family's 1533-position model. The record is from RNAcentral.
GAUGAACGCUGGCGGCGUGCCUAAUACAUGCAAGUCGAGCGAACAGAUGAGGAGCUUGCUCCUCUGACGUUAGCGGCGGACGGGUGAGUCACACGUGGAUAACAUACCUAUAAGACUGGGAUAAUUUUGGGAAACCGGAGCUAAUACCGGAUAACAUGUUGAACCGCAUGGUUCCAGAGUGAAAGACGCUCUUUCUGUCACUUAUAGAUGGAUACGCGCCUCAUUAGCUACUUGGUAAGGUAACGGCUUACCAAAGCAACGAUGCGUAGGCGACCUGAGCGGGAGAUCCACCACACUGGAACUGAGACACGGUACAGACUUCGACGGGGGGCAGCAGUAGAGAAUCUUACGCAAUGGGCGAGUGCCUGACGGAGCAAAACCGCGGGAGUGCAGAAGGACUUAGGACGGUUAAAUGCUGAUGGUAGGAAAGAAGAAAAGUGCAUGUAACGAUGACGGUAUUGACGGUACCUGAAGAAAAAGCCACGGCUAACUUCGUG